GUGAAGAACGUAGCGAAAUGCGAUACGUAAUGUGAAUUGCAGAAUUCAGUGAAUCAUCGAGUCUUUGAACGCACAUUGCGCCCCCUGGUAUUCGGGGGGCAUGCCUGUCCGAGCGUCAUUGCUGCCCUCAAGCACGGCUUGUGUGUUGGGCCUCCGUCCUCCUCCCGGGGGACGGGCCCGAAAGGCAGCGGCGGCACCGCGUCCGGUCCUCGAGCGUAUGGGGCUUCGUCACCCGCUCUUGUAGGCCCGGCCGGCGCUUGCCGACACAUCAAUCUUUUUUCCAGGUUGACCUCGGAUCAGGUAGGGAUACCCGCUGAACUUAAGCAUAUCAAUAAGCGGAGGA
This 343-nucleotide unclassified non-coding RNA is filed under the name soil metagenome. Its description in RNAcentral is "partial contains 5.8S ribosomal RNA, internal transcribed spacer 2, and large subunit ribosomal RNA". The stretch from base 2 to 118 matches the Rfam family "5.8S ribosomal RNA", at positions 37 to 154 of the family's 154-position model. The record is from RNAcentral.